UACGUAGGGUGCGAGCGUUAAUCGGAAUUACUGGGCGUAAAGCGUGCGCAGGCGGUUCGUUGUGUCGGCGGUGAAAGCCCCGGGCUUAACCUGGGAAUGGCCGUCGAAACUGGCGAACUGGAGUGUGGCGGAGGGGGGUGGAAUUCCGCGUGUAGCAGUGAAAUGCGUAGAGAUGCGGAGGAACACCGAUGGCGAAGGCAGCCCCCUGGGCUGACACUGACGCUCAGGCACGAAAGCGUGGGGAGCAAACAGG
This 253-nucleotide ribosomal RNA is filed under the name uncultured bacterium. RNAcentral's name for it is "partial 16S ribosomal RNA". It matches the Rfam family "Bacterial small subunit ribosomal RNA", at positions 524 to 776 of the family's 1533-position model. The record is from RNAcentral.